RNAcentral lists this ribosomal RNA (451 nucleotides) under uncultured bacterium. RNAcentral's name for it is "bacterial SSU rRNA". It matches the Rfam family "Bacterial small subunit ribosomal RNA", at positions 29 to 524 of the family's 1533-position model. The record is from RNAcentral.
AGCGAACGCUGGCGGCAGGCCUAACACAUGCAAGUCGAACGCGUGUAGCAAUACACGAGUGGCAGACGGGUGAGUAACACGUGGGAACGUGCCCUUCGGUUCGGAAUAACUCAGGGAAACUUGAGCUAAUACCGGAUACGCCCUUACGGGGAAAGAUUAUCGCCGAUGGAUCGGCCCGCGUCUGAUUAGCUAGUUGGUGAGGUAACGGCUCACCAAGGCGACGAUCAGAGCUGGUCUGAGAGGAUGAUCAGCCACACUGGGACUGAGACACGGCCCAGACUCCUACGGGAGGCAGCAGUGGGGAAUAUUGGACAAUGGGGGAAACCCUGAUCCAGCCAUGCCGCGUGAGUGAUGAAGGCCCUAGGGUUGUAAAGCUCUUUCGGCGGGGACGAUAAUGACGGUACCCGCAGAAGAAGCCCCGGGCUAACUACGUGCCAGCCGCCGCAGUAAU